This is a non-coding RNA of Phascolarctos cinereus (koala), 1540 nucleotides long. The record is from RefSeq and is a predicted model, not a curated record. NCBI's taxonomy places the organism in Eukaryota, Metazoa, Chordata, Mammalia, Diprotodontia, Phascolarctidae.
UGGAUUUAAGUGAGGGAUGGCUGUGCAAAGUUACCAGCCUCACUUUCUCCUCCAGAGCCAUCUGGGUCUAGUCGCCACAUAUAGAUCAGGAUGCCUGGAGAUGGUACUAGAUGACAGUGGGAGAUUGUGGACUUUUUCAGUGUUAUUUAUAGGCAAUAAGGAAUGAACUAGUAUAUAAGGAGAGAUUGAAGAUGAUCAAAGGAGAAGAUAAAGGCAAAAGAAACUUUCUAGAGAAGGCAGAAGAAAAUAAGAUCAAAAGUAUAAGUAAAAGAGUUGGCCUUGGUGAGCAGAAGGGCUGUAUCUUCAUCAGAUAUUAGAGUGAGGAGACAAUUGGGUAUGACAUCAAAGGAUUUGAGAAGUAGAUUUAGAGAAAAGAGAAAAUUCAGGGGAAAUUUUUGUUUGUUUGUUUUUGUCAUUGUUUUUUCUCCAUACAGUAUGAGGUCUUCUCUUAAGAGAGUGGGAAAGGGGAAAGGAGUAGACUCAAAGAGAGAAAUGAAAGUUUGGAACGUUGUGGAGAGUGAGAUAGAGAAUUACUUUGGGAGUUGUAAAAUUAUUACCUCAUUACAGUGAGAAUCCAGGCGAAUAACUAAUUUGUAAUGUACUUAGCCAGCAUGGAUGCAUGACUUCCUCCAGCCCUGUUAAGUAACACAUACGUAAAAGCAGAGGAGGUAGAUGGUGUAAAUAAUCCAGGGCUGGGAUUUGGGGAACUGUGAGCAAUGACAGGAUAAGAUGAUGAGAGAUUUGAGAGCACAGUAUGGUGUAAUAUUGAACUGGUUAGCUAUGAGAUCAACUCUGGAAAGGGAAAAAAGUAAAACUGGAUUGGGGUGCUGGCCUGUAAGAGAGCUGAAGGAUAGAGGGACUGAAUGAAGAUCACAGAGAAGAUAGAGAAUCUGAAAGAAUUUGAGGGAACAUCAAAAUGGAAGGAUUUGGAGAGGAUGAAACAGUCAACUAGACUGGACAUCAAAUGAGAUAUUGGGGAUACAUCUGUACUCUGCACAUUCUAAGCCCUGCCUGGUCCUCAGAGUUUUUUUUUUUGGAGGGGGGAGAAAAGGAGAAGAUACUCAAUCUUCACAGAUAAGAACCAGGCAGAACAAGAGGGAGUCUACCUUGUUUUCCCACAGAAAGUCAUCCUUAAAGAAAGACAAGGAGCAAGUAUGGAAGCAGCAGAUUUGACAAAGCACUGUAUGGGACCGAGGCAAUUAUCUGUAUUAUUCAAGCAGAAGAUGAGGAACCUGGAAAUACUAAUAUAUACUUUUGGAUGAGGAAACUGAGGUUGAGAGAGUUUAAGUGACUUGUCCAGGAUCCCACAGCUAUCUUAGACUUAGAAGCACUUUGCAUUGCCCUCCAAGUUUUCUGAAGGCCCUUUAGUUGAAGAUCUUUCUCCACUUCCUCCCUUCAUUAUUCUUGAUAAAGACUGCUGAUUUUAAGUGUCCUCCCAUAGGGAAUAAAUGAAGAAAGGAAAGAGGUGCUACUGAUGUGGGAUGGGCAGUACAAAGGAAGCAACCUUUUAAAAUCUUGUUUUACCUUUAUAACUGUCAAU